Molecule: transfer RNA, 64 nt
Filed under: Amphioctopus neglectus
Lineage: Eukaryota; Metazoa; Mollusca; Cephalopoda; Octopoda; Octopodidae
Description: tRNA-His
Source: RNAcentral
GUAAAAUUAGUUUAUAUAAAAUACUAAGUUGUGGGCUUAGAGAAAAAAGUUAUUUUAUUUUACU